RNAcentral lists this ribosomal RNA (253 nucleotides) under uncultured bacterium. RNAcentral's name for it is "partial 16S ribosomal RNA". It matches the Rfam family "Bacterial small subunit ribosomal RNA", at positions 524 to 776 of the family's 1533-position model. The record is from RNAcentral.
UAUGAAGGGUGCAAGCGUUACUCGGAAUUACUGGGCGUAAAGCGUGCGUAGGCGGUUUGUUAAGUCUGUCGUGAAAGCCCUGGGCUCAACCUGGGAAUUGCGAUGGAUACUGGCAAGCUAGAGUACGGUAGAGGAUGGUGGAAUUCCCGGUGUAGCGGUGAAAUGCGUAGAGAUCGGGAGGAACACCCGUGGCGAAGGCGGCUACCUGGACCAGCACUGACACUGAGGCACGAAAGCGUGGGGAGCAAACAGG